RNAcentral lists this RNase P RNA (182 nucleotides) under Gammaproteobacteria bacterium. RNAcentral describes it as "partial RNase P RNA component class A". It matches the Rfam family "Bacterial RNase P class A", at positions 1 to 198 of the family's 367-position model. From Rfam's summary of the family: Ribonuclease P (RNase P) is a ubiquitous endoribonuclease, found in archaea, bacteria and eukarya as well as chloroplasts and mitochondria. The record is from RNAcentral. Lineage: Bacteria; Pseudomonadati; Pseudomonadota; Gammaproteobacteria.
AGAGUUGACCAGACAAUCGCCGCCUGAAAGGGGGGAGGAAAGUCCGGGCUCCACAGGAUAAGGUGCCAGGUAACGCCUGGGAGGCGCGAGCCUACGGAAAGUGCAGCAGAAAAUAUACCGCCAAUUUUUUGGUAAGGGUGAAAUGGUGGGGUAAGAGCCCACCGCUUUUUUGGUAACAAAAA